UCGAGAAUCUUCGGCAAUGGGCGCAAGCCUGACCGAGCGACGCCGCGUGGAGGACGAAGGCCUUCGGGUUGUAAACUCCUGUCGAGGGGGAAGAAGGCCCCGCAAGGGGCUUGACUGAUCCCUGGAGGAAGCACGGGCUAAGUUCGUGCCAGCAGCCGCGGUAAGACGAACCGUGCGAACGUUAUUCGGAAUCACUGGGCUUAAAGCGCGUGUAGGCGGGACGGCACGUCGGUCGCUGAAAGCCCCCGGCUCAACCGGGGAACGGGCGCCGAUACGACCGUCCUGGAGGGACGUAGGGGGACCUGGAACUUCCGGUGGAGCGGUGAAAUGCGUUGAGAUCGGAAGGAACGCCCGUGGCGAAAGCGAGGUCCUGGACGUUUUCUGACGCUGAGACGCGAAAGCCAGGGGAGCGAACGGGAUUAGAUACCCCCGUAGUCC
This 438-nucleotide ribosomal RNA is filed under the name uncultured bacterium. Its description in RNAcentral is "bacterial SSU rRNA". It matches the Rfam family "Bacterial small subunit ribosomal RNA", at positions 355 to 796 of the family's 1533-position model. The record is from RNAcentral.